Molecule: ribosomal RNA, 505 nt
Filed under: uncultured bacterium
Lineage: Bacteria
Description: partial 16S ribosomal RNA
Rfam family: Bacterial small subunit ribosomal RNA
Source: RNAcentral
AGUGAACGCUGGCGGUAGGCCUAGCACAUGCAAGUCGAACGGCAGCACAGGAGAGCUUGCUCUCUGGGUGGCGAGUGGCGGACGGGUGAGGAAUACAUCGGAAUCUACUUUUUCGUGGGGGAUAACGUAGGGAAACUUACGCUAAUACCGCAUACGACCUACGGGUGAAAGCAGGGGACCUUCGGGCCUUGCGCGAUUGAAUGAGCCGAUGUCGGAUUAGCUAGUUGGCGGGGUAAAGGCCCACCAAGGCGACGAUCCGUAGCUGGGCUGAGAGGAUGAUCAGCAACACUGAAACUGAGCCACGGUCCAGACUCCUACGGGAGGCAGCAGUGGGGAAUAUUGGACAAUGGGCGCAAGCCUGAUCCAGCCAUACCGCGUGGGUGAAGAAGGCCUUCGGGUUGUAAAGCCCUUUUGUUGGGAAAGAAAUCCAGCUGGCUAAUACCGGUUGGGAUGACGGUACCCAAAGAAUAAGCACCGGCUAACUUCGUGCCAGCAGCCGCAGUAA